GACGAACGCUGGCGGCGUGCUUAACACAUGCAAGUCGAACGGAAAGGCCCUGCUUUUGUGGGGUGCUCGAGUGCGAACGGGUGAGUAACACGUGAGUAACCUGCCCUUGACUUUGGGAUAACUUCAGGAAACUGGGGCUAAUACCGGAUUGGAGCUCCUGCUGCAUGGUGGGGGUUGGAAAGUUUCGGCGGUUGGGGAUGGACUCGCGGCUUAUCAGCUUGUUGGUGGGGUAGUGGCUUACCAAGGCUUUGACGGGUAGCCGGCCUGAGAGGGUGACCGGCCACAUUGGGACUGAGAUACGGCCCAGACUCCUACGGGAGGCAGCAGUGGGGAAUAUUGCACAAUGGGCGGAAGCCUGAUGCAGCAACGCCGCGUGCGGGAUGACGGCCUUCGGGUUGUAAACCGCUUUCGCCUGUGACGAAGCGUGAGUGACGGUAAUGGGUAAAGAAGCACCGGCUAACUACGUG
Molecule: ribosomal RNA, 467 nt
Filed under: uncultured bacterium
Lineage: Bacteria
Description: partial 16S ribosomal RNA
Rfam family: Bacterial small subunit ribosomal RNA
Source: RNAcentral